GAGGUUGGUUUCAGCCCGGUGUCUCACCGUCUCCAGACGUCUGGGAACUUCGUGAUCUACAGUGAUGCUUCUAAGAAGGGUUUGGGUUGUGUGCUUAUGUAAUAUGGUAGGGUGGUCGCCUAUGCCUUCCGACAGUUGAAGAACCAUGAGCGCAACUAUCUUACCCACGACUUGAAAUUGGCAGCGGUAGUGUUUACCCUAAAGAUCUGGAGACACUACUUGUAUGGGGAAAAGAUUCAAGUGUUCACCGACCACAAUAGUCUUAAAUACUUCUUCACCCAGAAAGAGUUAAACACGAGGCAGCGCAGGUGGCUCGAUUUAUUAAAGGAUUAUGACUGUAAGAUCCUCUACCACCCAGGUAAGGCGAAUGUGGUAGUCGAUGCCCUCAGUCAAAAGAUCACUAAGAGGUUCAGUUGUGUAAAGAUCUAGAACGAGCAAAGAUUGCAGUGGCAGUGGGGGAAGUCACUUCACAGCUAGCCCAGUUAACAGUGCAACCAACCUUGAGGCAAUAGAUUAUUGAUGCACAGCAGGAUGAUCCCGACCUGGUUCAAAAGUGUUGUCAGGUAUGGUCAGGUCAGGCAAGUGAAUUUUCUUUGUCAGUGGACGAGGGUCUUUUGUAUCAGGGACGGUUGUGCGUCCCAACAGAUGAUGGCUUGAAAGAUGAACUGUUGGUAGAAGCUCAUAACUCUUCAUUCUCGAUGCACCCAGGUAGUACCAAAAUGUACCAAGAUGUGAAACGGUAUUACUGGUGGCCCGAUAUGAAAAGGGAGAUAGUUGAAUAUGUCAAUAGAUGUUUAGUCUGCCAGUAGGUGAAGGCCCCGAGGUAGAAGAUAGCAAGCUUGCUACAACCAUUGGAUGUGCCAUAAUGGAAAUGGGAGAGUGUGGCAAUGGAUUUUAUUAUGGGGUUGCCUAGGAUAGCGAAGGGUUUUUCGGUGAUUUGGGUUGUGAUAAAAGACUCACCAAGGUGGCACAUUUUAUUCCAGGAAAGCUCACGUAUGUGGUGAGUAAGUGGGCUUAGUUAUAAAUGAAGGAGAUAGUAAGGUUGCAUGGUGUGCCAGUGUCAAUUGUGUCCGACAGGGACCCUCGUUUCACCUCCAGUUUUUGGAAGAGCCUUCAGGCAGUUUUAAGGUCGCGGUUGAACUUCAGUAUAACGUUUCACCCCCAAACUGAUGGGCAAACAAAACGUUUAAGUCAGACAUUAGAGGACAUGUUGCGCGCUUGUGCGUUGGAAUUCUCAGGGGGUUGGGACUCCCACUUACAUUUGGCAGAGUUUACUUAUAAUAAUAGCUAUCAGGCUAACAUUGGCAUGUCACCUUUGAGGCUCUUUAUAGCAAAGGUUGCAGAUCUCUUAUUUACUGGGGUGAGAUUGGGGAGAGGAAACUGGUGGGGACUGAGUUAGUGGAGUUGACGAAUGAAGCCAUGCAGAAGAUCAGGGCUAGAAUGCCAGCGGCGUAAAGUAGACAGAAAAGUUAUGCGGAUGUUAGGCAUAAAGAUCUGGAGUUUGAAGCAGGUGACAAGGUGUUCUGGAAAGUGGAGCCGAUGAAGGGUGUCCUGAGAUUCGGGAAGAAGGGUAAGCUAAGUUCGCGUUUUGUAGGGCCAUUCGAGAUCUUGGAGCGGGUCGGCUCUGUGGCUUACCGAUUGCGCUUACCACCGUCUCUCUCCACGGUCCAUAAUGUAUUUCAUGUCUCCAUGCUGAGGAAGUAUUUAAUAGACCCGUCUCAUGUGGUGGACUUUGAGCCCUUACAAAUGAAUGAAAACUUGAGUUACGAGGAGAAGCCCACGCAAAUUGUGGCCAGGGAGGUGAAAGUUUUGCGCAGCAAGGAGAUGCCACUGGUGCAGGUUAUGUGGCAGAAUCAUCAGUUUGAGGAAGCAACUUGGGAGCGAGAGGACGAGAUGAGGGCACUACAUCCAUAGCUCUUCUAGGAUUAGAACUUUCGAGGACGAAAGUUUAUUAAAGGGGGGAAGAGUGUGAUGCCCCAAAGUUUAAAAAAAAAGAAGAAGAAAUAAAUGGUUAAUUUGGGAAAAGGAAGAUGGAUGUAGGGUUAUAAAAAUUGGGGGUCAUUGGGAUGCGUGCAAAAGGAAAAAAAAAAGAAAUUAUUUUUUCUUCUUCAUCUUCCUUCUUCAUUCCGUGAAAAACCCCCUUCACUUUCAAUCACCGCUGCUCGCCGUCAACCAAGCCUGUUCGCCGAUCGUCGUUUUCGUCAUCGACCACGCGAGUUCGCCGAUCGUUCUUCUUCUCCGUGCCGCCGCUCGACCUGACGCAGAUGAAGCCAUUGAAGCAGGAGUUUGCGAGGCCCUCGUUUUCGCCGUCGAUCGAGUCCUAAGCCACCGAACGUUGAAGUCGCGAGCCUGUUCGUCGACCCGACGUAGAGGAAGCCGUCGAAUGCUAAAGUCGCGAGCCGCGCCGUCUUCUCCGUCUGCCUACCACUGGUUCGGGUCGUUGUGGAUCGCGGUGGUUCCAACUGUUCCGUCUGUUCGGGGAACGUGUGGCGAUGAAGGAAGUUCUCGAGCGGAGUAAUAUCUCGUUUUGGGACAGUUCGUUAUCCUGAGGUAAGAGUAAUGACAGACUGGUGCAUGACAACAGAGAUUCGUGACCUGGCCAUUAGGACGAUUCACUGCUUCCGCAUAUAGUAUCAUGUUUUGAAAUCUGGUUUGGGAGUUAGGCGCCUUACACUUUUAUGCAAAAUAUAUCAAUUUUAUUAUUUGACUAUUUAAUUUCCUUUAUUUGUUUCUAGUAGGGUUUAGGGGUACCCUGAAUAGUAAAUUAUUUUAUUUUAUUUUGCUUUAGUUUAUUUAUUAUUAUUAAUUAUGUUUUCAUAUCUUUGCUCGUUUGAGCAUUAUUAAAUAAAAUUUUGGGUCUUG
Molecule: long non-coding RNA, 2862 nt
Organism: Benincasa hispida (wax gourd)
Lineage: Eukaryota; Viridiplantae; Streptophyta; Magnoliopsida; Cucurbitales; Cucurbitaceae
Source: RefSeq, a predicted model, not a curated record